This 1041-nucleotide long non-coding RNA is filed under the name Oryctolagus cuniculus (rabbit). RNAcentral's name for it is "lncRNA (ENSOCUG00000038203.1)". Lineage: Eukaryota; Metazoa; Chordata; Mammalia; Lagomorpha; Leporidae. The record is from RNAcentral.
AUGUCCGUUCCCUCACCACCACCCCCAUCACCACCAUCACCAUCAUUCACCACAAUCAUCACCAUCAUCACCACCACCACCAUUAGUACAGUCAUCACCACCAUCAUCACCAUCAUCACCAUCAUCACCAUCAGUACAGUCAUCACCACCAUCAUCACCACGUUACUAUCACCACUGUUGUCAUCACCACCACCAUCAUCACCAUCAUUCACACAAUCAUCAGGAUCAUUAUUAUCAUCACCAUCAUCACCACCAUCAUCACCAUCAUUCACCACAAUCAUCAGAAUCAUCACCAUCAUCACCACCACUGUCAUCACCAUCAUCACCACCAUCAGUACAGCCAUCACCACCAUCAUCACCACGUUACUAUCACCUCUGUUGUCAUCACCACCACCAUCAUCACCGUCAUUCACACAAUCAUCAGAAUCGCCAUCAUCACCAUCAGUACAGUCAGCACUGUCAUCACCAUCAUCACUAUCGCUGUCAUUAUCAUCAGCAGCAGCAUCGGCACCAUUGUCAUCACCAUCACUAACUCCCCAUCACCAUCAUCACCAUCAUCACAUCACCAUCGUCCGUCAGCUGGAUCCCCCUCCUCCUCCUCCUCACUGCCACAGCCACCAUCUAGACUUGUUUCAAGCUAAUCUGUCUGGUGGGGGUCAGCUAAGCAACAGAGCCCUCGAGUCCCACGUGAGCACCAGCAUCCUCAUUUACAGAGGAGGGUGUGGAGCUCCGGACUCACACCAAGGAGAGCUGGAAGGAGCGCCUCUUUUGUGCAGUGCUGGGGCCUGCCACCAGGCUGCGAGGAAGCUAUCCUGUGCUGUGGGAGGAGCCCCACAGGCUCGCGAUCGGAAGGGCAGGUGCAAGGAGUGGCCAUGUCCUGAAGAAGAGCGUCAAUUCCCUUCCGGGAUCCUGUCCACCACUGAGCCCAGGCUUCCCUGGGACCCGUCCAUCCCCAGGGUGGGCCCCGCCUCUCCUCUGAGAGCACCUGGUCAGGUGUGUGUCGUCUUGGGUCACUGUAACUCUGCCUUUCAAAUAAGAUGA